This 397-nucleotide ribosomal RNA is filed under the name uncultured bacterium. RNAcentral describes it as "partial 16S ribosomal RNA". It matches the Rfam family "Bacterial small subunit ribosomal RNA", at positions 523 to 918 of the family's 1533-position model. The record is from RNAcentral.
AUACGAAGGGUGCAAGCGUUACUCGGAAUUACUGGGCGUAAAGCGUGCGUAGGUGGUUGUUUAAGUCUGUCGUGAAAGCCCUGGGCUCAACCUGGGAAUGGCGAUGGAAACUGGGCGACUAGAGUGUGGCAGAGGGUAGUGGAAUUCCUGGUGUAGCAGUGAAAUGCGUAGAGAUCAGGAGGAACAUCCGUGGCGAAGGCGACUGCCUGGGCCAACACUGACACUGGGGCACGAAAGCGUGGGGAGCAAACAGGAUUAGAUACCCUGGUAGUCCACGCCCUAAACGAUGCGAACUGGAUGUUGGGUGCAAUUUGGCACGCAGUAUCGAAGCUAACGCGUUAAGUUCGCCGCCUGGGGAGUACGGUCGCAAGACUGAAACUCAAAUGAAUUGACGGGG